GACGGAUGGAAUCAUGGAUUGAAGAGGGAUAAACAUCAGCUCUUCUCUCACGAUUUCAUACCUCUACUCUCCCAUCGGAAUGAUCAGGCCUGAACCAGAGCUAGGGAGAAGAGGGACGAGGUGGCACAGGCAGAAACAGAGAAGCUCGAUCACCUCCAGUACAGCAACAAGAUUUGUAUUCAUACAUUCUCUAGAAGAAAUGUGCACAUGGCAUAGUGGAUGAGUAAAAAAUAGAGCCACCUGGUCUCCAAAAACCCAAAAGCAUGAGGUGGCCAUAUUCGGAGUUGAAAUUCCACUGUCCCCCAAGAGGGAAAGAGGCCUGAAAAUAACAACCAAGCCAGUAACAACAAGCACCCCUUGAGACAGAUAAAAUAAUAUUCCACCCAAAGGAACCAAAAGACUUCUUGAAAAAUUACAUGGCCAAUCUCUGGUCUAGAG
This is a long non-coding RNA of Symphalangus syndactylus (siamang), 438 nucleotides long. RefSeq lists it as uncharacterized. The record is from RefSeq and is a predicted model, not a curated record. NCBI's taxonomy places the organism in Eukaryota, Metazoa, Chordata, Mammalia, Primates, Hylobatidae.